GAUGAACGCUGGCGGCGUGCCUAAUACAUGCAAGUCGAGCGAACGGACGCGAAGCUUGCUUCGCUGUUGUUAGCGGCGGACGGGUGUGUAACGCGUGGAUAACCUACCUAUAAGACUGGGAUAACUUCGGGAAACCGGAGCUAAUACCGGAUAAUAUUUUGAACCGCGGUGUUCAAAAGUGAGAGACGGUGUUGGUGGCACUUAUAGCUGGAUCCGCGCUGCAUUAGCUGGUUGUUAAGGUAACGGCUUACCACGGCAACGAUGCAUAGCCGAGCUGAGAGAGGGAUCGCCCACACUGGAGGGGAAACACGGUCCAGACGCCUACGGGAGGCAGCAGUAGGGAAUCGUACGCAACAGGCGAAAGCCUGACGGAGCGACGCCGCGUGAGUGAUGACGGUCUUCGGAUCGUAAAACUCUGUUAUUAGGGAAGAACAUAUGUGUAAGUAACUGUGCCCAGCGUGACGGUACCUAAUCAGAAAGCAACGGCUAACUACGUG
RNAcentral lists this ribosomal RNA (497 nucleotides) under uncultured bacterium. Its description in RNAcentral is "partial 16S ribosomal RNA". It matches the Rfam family "Bacterial small subunit ribosomal RNA", at positions 28 to 507 of the family's 1533-position model. The record is from RNAcentral.